Molecule: RNA transcript, 2420 nt
Organism: Ipomoea nil (Japanese morning glory)
Lineage: Eukaryota; Viridiplantae; Streptophyta; Magnoliopsida; Solanales; Convolvulaceae
Gene name: AT-rich interactive domain-containing protein 6-like
Exons: 15
Source: RefSeq, a predicted model, not a curated record
UCCGAUUUUAAAAUUGGAGGUCGAAUCCGCCCCUCCGCCCUUCAGCCCUUCCGCUCUCGCUGUCUUUCGAACUCACUCUCGUUGUCUGAAGAACUCAGGGUUUUGAGCCAGAGAGGAAAUCACGGAUGACAGAUCUCUCUCCCUGAAACAACAAUUUUAAGUGCUCGUUUUCUUCCGUUUGUUUGUUGGCUCGAAGGACUAGCCGAGCAGCCCAUGCUAUUGUGUGGUAAUGCUAUUUAUUACAUGGAGAAGUGAUUAAGGGACCACUGAGGUUUUGCAAAAUAAUACUUAUUACUGAAACUGGACAAGGAAUUUUUUUUGGUGUUUGAGAAUAAUCAUGACUGAUGAUAAGGCAGAGGAUAAGCAAGAAAUUGCACAAGAUGCACCUGAUGCUGUUACUGAUAUUCAUGCAGCAAACAAUGUACUUGCUGAAAACAAGGAUGUAGUAGACAACAAGACAUUAUCUGAUUUAUCUCACAUAGAUGCUACAGAAUUUCCCAACAAAAUAAUCUCUUCAUCUGAGGAUGCAAACACUUGUAUGGAAAUUGAGAACCCUGAGAUUUUCCAUCCUGAUGCUAAGAGUUGUGAGGUUCCCACCAUUGAGGGCAAAGGGUUCAUCCAACCUCAUUGUCAUUCUGAUGACAAAAUUGCAACCUACACUACUGAUAUUGAUCCCUGUGAUCGGCCUGACUACAUGGGGAAAGACAGCUCCUCACAAGUAAGUGAAGAGGAUGAAAUGUCUGAAGAAUUAAAAAAUUCAGUGUCUGGAGUGGAAUUAUCUUCUGGUAAUGGAACUGAGGUAAGGGGUUUGAUUGAUGAGUUGCCCAGGGAUGGGCCUGUUCCAAAGGAGUCAUCUACUGUAAAUGGCAGCAGGGAAGAUGAAGUGAAAAGUGAAGCAAACGUUGAGUCAUUGGUAAACAACAAAAGAAAGGACUUGUUGCCUACUGAAGAAGCGAAGCAGGAAUAUGCAGAUGCAUUGAAUGUCAAAGAAGUGCUACCAACUAGUCAGGUGAAUACAGGAUUGCCAAAGCCAGACAUGGAUGUUGACCAUGAUUCUAAUAUGAACCUUACUCCGAAGUCAUUCCUAUUGGAUACAAAUGCUGUGGGAGUAGAUGAGUCUGGAACAGAGGAAGACCAAGCAGCAUUUAUGAAAGAACUGGAAACCUUCCAUAAAGAAAGGUGCUUGGAAUUCAAGCCCCCACGGUUUUAUGGAGAGCCAUUGAAUUGCCUCAAGCUAUGGAGAGCAGUGAUCAGACUUGGUGGCUAUGAACAGGUGACAUCAUGCAAGCUAUGGCGGCAAGUAGGAGAAUCAUUUAAGCCUCCAAAGACAUGUACUACUGUCUCUUGGACAUUCCGGUGUUUCUAUGAAAAGGCACUGUUGGAAUAUGAAAAGUACAAGAUGCGCAGCGGUGAGCUUCCUUUUGCUGACGCAUCUUUUUCAGAGCCUUCUAGUACUGGUAACCCGGGUAAUCAGGCAUCAGGAUCGGGUAGAGCAAGAAGAGAUGCUGCAGCACGUGCUAUGCAAGGUUGGCAUUCUCAACGCCUUCUUGGAAAUGGUGAGGUUGGAGAUCCUAUCAUUAAGGACAAGAACUCAAUUUCAACACCAAAACGCGAGAAACAACUCAAGAGUAUUGGCUUGCUAAAGCGCAAAAAGCUGUCUCCUGUUGAUAAUGUUGCCAAAGCCGCCACGCGCAUGAAAAUACCAAAAACACAUGCUGAUAUUAAAGCUAAAUGUUCCACACAAUACCUUCAAUGCUUUUUUCCAGGUCAGAAUCAAUGGUCGCUGAUAUUGGGGCUCCUGCUGACUGGGUGAAGAUCAAUGUACAGAAGACUAAUGACUGCUUUGAAGUAUAUGCUUUAGUACCUGGCCUUUUGCGUGAGGAGGUUCGUGUACAGUCUGAUCCAGCAGGACGCCUGGUUAUAUCUGGCCAGCCAGAACAACUGGAUAAUCCCUGGGGUGUCACUCCAUUCAAAAAGGUAGUGAGCUUGCCCUCAAGAAUUGACCCUCAUCAGACAUCUGCUGUCGUUACCCUGCAUGGACAGUUAUUUGUACGCGUGCCGUUUGAGCAAUCAGAUAUAUAAACUAGGAAAGCACUCCAUCUUGGAUAGUGAGUUUGACUUUUACAUGGGGGAAAUGGGUGCUGAGAUCAAAUUUUGUAUUGCACAAAUUCCUCUUUAGUACAAGACUUAGCUUGUGAAUUUUCUUAUUGUUCAGGAACUUGUAUGCGUAUGUAGAUUAAUUUCUUAUACUUCCUGGCAGUUUAUGAUCAUGAUACCUUCCGGUGUAAAAUAGGACGAUGCAUAUUUCCCCUAGAGACUAGAGUUUAGUUGUGACAUUGCAUGGCAGUACAUACUAUGUUACCAACAAUGCCCGGUAGGACUGUUUUCUCUUUUAAUGCUGCAAAAUGUGUAUGGAUAUU